AUGGUAAGACCGUUUUAUUGGGGUGCUGAAAAAGGUAAAAGGAAGGUGCAUUGGCGCGCUUGGGAUGACUUGGUGCAACCAAAGAGUAAAGGAGGUGCGGGGUUCAGAGAUUUUAGAAUAUUCAACCAAGCCUUACUAGCGAGGCAAGCAUGGAGACUAAUUUAUAAACCUGACAGUCUCUGUGCGCAAGUGUUAAAAGCAAGAUAUUACCCGAAUGGCAAUAUUCAGGAUACUGUUUUCUCUGGCAAUGCUUCGUCUUCGUCGCAAGCUAUUAGCUAUGGCCUUGACCUCUUGAAGAAGGGCUUAAUUUGGAGAGUGGGGAAUGGCAGAAGUAUCCGCGUGUGGCGUGAUAACUGGAUCCCGAGACCCUUCUCCUACAAACCCAUUACUCUGCAGGGGAGAUGUAGGAUACGAUUUGUCUCAGAUUUGCUGAAUAAUAAUGGGUCAUGGAAUGCUGCUGUGCUACAGGAAUUCUUCCUUCCAGCUGAUGUGGUCGAAAUUUUGAAGAUUCGGGCUUCCCCCCGUCAGGAGGAUGACACACUUGCUUGGGGUCCCGGUAAAUACGGAGUUUUUUCGGUCAGAAGUGCAUAUGAGUUUGGUUUUGAAGAGGCUCACAGGAGCUCCGCUACGGGAUCUAGUGCUCAUCCGGAUGGGCGUCGCAGCUGCUGGAAACUAAUUUGGUCCUCUGAUGUUCUCCCCACGGUCAAGAACUUUGCAUGGCGGGUAGCUACUAACUCGCUGCCAACAUGGAGAAACAAAAAUAGGAGAGGACUGGAAGUGCAUGCCUUGUGCCCUGUUUGUGCUUCAGAACCGGAAGACUGCCAUCAUGCGCUGUGCCGUUGUACGCUGUCAAGAGGCCUCUGGGACACGAUGUCUGAAGUUUGGCCGCUGCCGUGCCUAGCAACAGUACUAAAUAAUGGUGAUGAAUGGCUUUUGCAUAUGCUAGAACCACUACAGGAAGUGGAAAGAUCCAUGGUCCUCAUGACGUUUUGGAGAGCCUGGCAUAUUCGGAAUGAGAUCGUGCAUCAUAAACCUCCUCCGCCUAUGGAAGCUUCUAAAAGGUUUUUGGUGAGCUACAUGGAUUCUCUCAUUGGUAUUAAAACAGAUCUUUCAUCUGAUCCCAAUAGAGGAAAGUCGUACAUCACGUAUGAGCCCAGAAUGCCACAUGCGAUACUGAAUAUAGCCGAGCGCAAAUGGUCUGCUCCUAAGCUGGGUUGGGUGAAGCUUGAAAUUGAUGGUUCGUUUAUGGAUGAUGGGUCUGCUGGUGCUGGGAUGGUGUUACGAGAUGAUAAGGGUGCAAUUAUAUUCUCGUCCUGCAGACAGUUAUUUUCUUGCCGAGAUGCUCUUGAAGCCGAGCUUUGUGCGUGUAUGAAAGGUUUGUCCUUUGCACUACAGAGAAGUGAACUACCGGUGCAGAUGGAGAUGGAUUCAAUAGUGGCGGUCAAAUUAAUCCAGGCUUCGGGGAUGGACAGAUCGGUCUACACGUCGGUCAUCAAAGAGAUUAAAUACCUAAUGUCCCUUCGUGAAACUUGUAUUACUCAUGUAAAUUGCAGCUAAAAUAAGGUUAGUGAUAGUCUAGCAAGAUUUGCUCGUGUUGAGGGAAGAACCUUGACUUGGCUAGGGUCUGGCCCUCCAGAAGUUUUAGAGCUAGCUGCGAUUAAUUGUAUGAACCUUGGGAACGAGUAA
Molecule: ribosomal RNA, 1686 nt
Filed under: Triticum aestivum (bread wheat)
Lineage: Eukaryota; Viridiplantae; Streptophyta; Magnoliopsida; Poales; Poaceae
Description: partial small subunit ribosomal RNA
Source: RNAcentral